GACGAACGCUGGCGGCGUGCCUAAUACAUGCAAGUUGAGCGAUGAAGAUUGGUGCUUGCACCAAUUUGAAGAGCAGCGAGCGGGUGAGUAACGCGUGGGGAAUCUGCCUUUGAGCGGGGGACAACAUUUGGAAACGAAUGCUAAUACCGCAUAAUAACUUUAAACAUAAGUUUUAAGUUUGAAAGAUGCAAUUGCAUCACUCAAAGAUGAUCCCGCGUUGUAUUAGCUAGUUGGUGAGGUAAAGGCUCACCAAGGCGAUGAUACAUAGCCGACCUGAGAGGGUGAUCGGCCACAUUGGGACUGAGACACGGCCCAAACUCCUACGGGAGGCAGCAGUAGGGAAUCUUCGGCAAUGGACGAAAGUCUGACCGAGCAACGCCGCGUGAGUGAAGAAGGUUUUCGGAUCGUAAAACUCUGUUGGUAGAGAAGAACGUUGGUGAGAGUGGAAAGCUCAUCAAGUGACGGUAACUACCCAGAAAGGGACGGCUAACUACGUG
This 497-nucleotide ribosomal RNA is filed under the name uncultured bacterium. Its description in RNAcentral is "partial 16S ribosomal RNA". It matches the Rfam family "Bacterial small subunit ribosomal RNA", at positions 28 to 507 of the family's 1533-position model. The record is from RNAcentral.